RNAcentral lists this ribosomal RNA (2621 nucleotides) under Chloroflexota bacterium. RNAcentral describes it as "Chloroflexi bacterium partial 23S ribosomal RNA". It matches the Rfam family "Bacterial large subunit ribosomal RNA", at positions 1 to 2570 of the family's 2925-position model. Lineage: Bacteria; Bacillati; Chloroflexota. The record is from RNAcentral.
AUGGAUCAAGCUACUAAGGGCACACGGGGGAUGCCUUGGCGCUAGAAGCCGAACAAGGGCGUAGUGAGACUGCGAUAAGCCACGGUCAGCCGUCUGGCAGGCUAAGCCGUGGAUUCCCGAGUGGGGAAACCCGGGGCCGCGCGUUCGCGCGCGGUUCCAUCUCUUAUGAGAGGGUAAGCGGGGGAACUGAAACAUCUAAGUACCCCGAGGAAAGGAAAUCAACCGAGACUCCCUUAGUAGCGGCGAGCGAAAAGGGAAGAGCCCAAACCGGGUGUGACUAAACGGCUCAGGAGCUUACGUCACACGGGUGUUGUAGGGCUUGAUCUGGGGGCUACCUGAGGCUCCCGGGGAGUUACAAAGCGCGACGAUAGCUGAGCAGCACUGGAAAGUCUGGUCACAGAGGGUGAUAGCCCCGUAGGCGAAAUUGUCGUGCCUCCUUGAUCGAGUACCUGAGUACGGCGGGACACGUGAAAUCCUGUCGGAAUCUGGGGAGACCACUCUCCAAGGCUAAGUACUUCUAGCGACCGAUAGCGAACCAGUACCGUGAGGGAAAGGUGAAAAGCACCCCAAGCAGGGGAGUGAAAGAGAACUGAAACCGUGUGCCUACAAACCGUUGGAGUCUGCCUACGGGCGGAUGACAGCGUGCCUAUUGAAGAAUGAGCCAGCGAGUUACUUUGCGUGGCGAGGUUAAGGCGUUUAGCGCCGUAGCCGAAGCGAAAGCGAGUCUGAACAGGGCGUUCAGUCGCGUUGAGUAGACCCGAAACCGUGUGAGCUACCCAUGGCCAGGCUGAAGCGAAAGUAACAUUUCGUGAAGGGCCGAACCCGUUUACGUUGCAAAGUGAUGGGAUGAGCUGUGGGUAGGGGUAAAAUGCCAAACGAACACGGAGAUAGCUGGUUCUCCCCGAAAUGCAUUUAGGUGCAGCGUCAGGAAAAUACUUCGCGGAGGUAGGGCUCUGAUUGGGCUAGGGGGUGAAGAACUUACCAAACCCUGUCAAACUUCGAAUACCGCGAAGGGUACCCUGGCAGUGAGACAGUGAAGGAUAAGCUCCAUUGUCGAAAGGGAAACAGCCCAGAUCGCAAGCUAAGGCCCCUAAGUGAGUGCUAAGUGUUAAACGAGGUGGGGGCGCCCAGACAGCCAGGAGGUUGGCUUAGAAGCAGCCAUCCUUUAAAGAGUGCGUAACAGCUCACUGGUCGAGGGCUCCCGCACGGAAAAUAAACGGGGCUCAAGCACUUCGCCGAAGCUGCGAAAGGCGCGUUCGCGCGCCUUGGUAGGGGAGCGUUCCCAGCCGCGUCGAAGCGUCAUCGUGAGGUGACGUGGAGUGCUGGGAAGUGAGAAUGCUGGCAUGAGUAGCGUCAAUGCCGGUGAGAAUCCGGCACGCCGAAAGUCCAAGGUUUCCUACGCAACGUUGAUCGACGUAGGGUAAGGCGGCCCUAAGGAGUAGCCGAACGGCGAAUCCGAUGGAUAGCUGGUUGAAAUUCCAGCCCCGCCCCAGGACCGAUUGAGACGCAGGAGGGACGCGGAUUGGUAAGCGAUGCAUACCAGUGGAUAUGGUGUGUCGCCACCCGUAGGCCAGGGCCGCGAGUUAAAAUGCGCGGUUCGUUACGAGCAGAGGGGUGGUGGGACCUUAAGGUACGCCUCGAGGAACGUCGCUAAGCCUAUGCCGCCAAGAAAAUCUCCGACGUCGAGGUUCUGUGGCGACCGUACCGCAAACCGACACUGGUGGACAGGGGUAAAAGCCCUAAGGCGUUCGAGAUAACCAUCGUUAAGGAACUCGGCAAAUUAACCCCGUAACUUCGGGAUAAGGGGUGCCGAUGGCGUAUACGCGUUAACCGCGAAAAGCGUUGUCGGCCGCAGAGAACCGGCUCAAGCGACUGUUUACCAAAAACACAGGUCUGUGCCAAAGCGAAAGCUGAUGUAUACAGGCUGACGCCUGCCCAGUGCUGGUAGGUUAAGGAAGGGGGUGAGAGCCUCCGACCGAAGCCCCGGUAAACGGCGGCCGUAACUAUAACGGUCCUAAGGUAGCGAAGUCCCUUGUCGGGUAAGUUCCGACCCGCACGAAUGGCGUAACGACUUGAGCACUGUCUCAACGAUGGACUCGGUGAAAUUGCAGGACCCGUAAAGAUGCGGGUUACGCGCGGCAGGACAAAUAGACCCCGUGGAGCUUUACUGCAGCUUGACAUUGGUUUGAGCUCAGGGAUGUGUAGUAAUAGGCGGGAGACUUCGAAGCGCAGGCGCCAGCCUGUGUGGAGUCAACCAUGAAAGACCGCCCUUUUCUGCGUUUGAAUCUAACCGUUUCUGGAACAGUGUCUGGUAGGCAGUUUGACUGGGGCGGUCGCCUCCUAAAAGGUAACGGAGGCGCACAAAGGUCACCUCAGGCUGGAUGGAAAUCAGCCUCAGAGUGUAUUGGCAUAAGGGGGCUUGACUGCGAGACCAACAAGUCGAGCAGGGACGAAAGUCGGUCAAAGUGAUCCUACGGUUCAGUGUGGAAGGGCCGUAGCUUAACGGAUAAAAGCUACCCCGGGGAUAACAGGCUAAUCUCCCCCAAGAGAUCGUAUCGACGGGGAGCUUUGGCACCUCGAUGUCGGCUCGUCGCAUCCUGGGGCUGAAGAAGGUCCCAAGG